This 253-nucleotide ribosomal RNA is filed under the name uncultured bacterium. RNAcentral's name for it is "partial 16S ribosomal RNA". It matches the Rfam family "Bacterial small subunit ribosomal RNA", at positions 524 to 776 of the family's 1533-position model. The record is from RNAcentral.
UACGAAGGGGGCUAGCGUUGUUCGGAUUUACUGGGCGUAAAGGGCGCGUAGGCGGAUUUAUAAGUCAGGAGUGAAAUCCCUGGGCUCAACCCAGGAAUUGCUCUUGAAACUAUAAGUCUUGAGUAUAGGAGAGGUGAGUGGAAUUCCCAGUGUAGUGGUGAAAUACGUAGAGAUUGGGAAGAACACCAGUGGCGAAGGCGGCUAUCUGGACGGUUUCUGACACUAAGACUCGAAAGCGUGGGGAGCAAACAGG